This 50-nucleotide ribosomal RNA is filed under the name Pogona vitticeps (central bearded dragon). The record is from RNAcentral. Lineage: Eukaryota; Metazoa; Chordata; Lepidosauria; Squamata; Agamidae.
CGCCAUGAACAUUCCUGAUCACAUCUGGUUUUAGAAGCUAAGCAGGGUUG